GGGCCCAUAGCUCAGCGGUGAGAGCGGCUGACUCAUAAUCAGUAGGUCCCUGGUUCAAAUCCGGGUGGGCCCA
RNAcentral lists this transfer RNA (73 nucleotides) under Candidatus Desantisbacteria bacterium CG1_02_49_89. Its description in RNAcentral is "tRNA-Met". It matches the Rfam family "tRNA". From Rfam's summary of the family: Transfer RNA (tRNA) molecules are approximately 80 nucleotides in length. Their secondary structure includes four short double-helical elements and three loops (D, anti-codon, and T loops). Further hydrogen bonds mediate the characteristic L-shaped molecular structure. tRNAs have two regions of fundamental functional importance: the anti-codon, which is responsible for specific mRNA codon recognition, and the 3' end, to which the tRNAs corresponding amino acid is attached (by aminoacyl-tRNA synthetases). tRNAs cope with the degeneracy of the genetic code in two manners: having more than one tRNA (with a specific anti-codon) for a particular amino acid; and 'wobble' base-pairing, i.e. permitting non-standard base-pairing at the 3rd anti-codon position. RNAcentral also lists the same sequence under 1 other name. The record is from RNAcentral. Lineage: Bacteria; Candidatus Desantisiibacteriota.